CCACCGCCGCCACCCUCUUUGGUUGUUGCUGGUCACCCACCAGCCCAGCCCCGUGGCAACUUCGACUUCUGGUGGUUUGCGCAAUGGUUGCGCGCCUACCGGCUGGCCGAACCAACAACGGCGAACUCCAGGAGAUCGACGGAACACGCGAGGCUCACUUCAGUCUUCUUCAUCGGCGAGAGUCGAGAAGGAGAACGAUUUCUCCUCUCGGUUCCACCGACGACAAGAACAACCAGUUUCCCCGUGAGGCGAAGCCCAUCGACAGUGCGCAUUAAGGACGCGCGUCGACUAGGUCACACCACCGGGACGGU
RNAcentral lists this long non-coding RNA (311 nucleotides) under Manihot esculenta (cassava). RNAcentral's name for it is "long non-coding RNA (MESC_LNC011005)". The record is from RNAcentral. Lineage: Eukaryota; Viridiplantae; Streptophyta; Magnoliopsida; Malpighiales; Euphorbiaceae.